CUGAACUUUUGGUGGUAUUUAUCAUAGAAUCAAAGAACCAUAGAAUGGCCUGAGUUGAAAAGGUCCUUAAAGAUCACAUAGUUUCGACCUCCCUGCUCUGGGCAGGGUGGCCAACUACUAGAGCAGGCUUCCCAGAUCUGCAUCCAACCUGGCAUUGAAUACCUCCAGAGAUGGGGCAUCCACAACCUCUCUAGGCAACCUUUUCCAGUGCCUCACCACCCUCUGGGUGAAAAACUUUCUCCUAAUAUCUAAUCUA
This is a long non-coding RNA of Oxyura jamaicensis (ruddy duck), 256 nucleotides long. RefSeq lists it as uncharacterized. NCBI's taxonomy places the organism in Eukaryota, Metazoa, Chordata, Aves, Anseriformes, Anatidae. The record is from RefSeq and is a predicted model, not a curated record. The transcript has 3 exons.